Molecule: ribosomal RNA, 279 nt
Filed under: uncultured bacterium
Lineage: Bacteria
Description: partial 16S ribosomal RNA
Rfam family: Bacterial small subunit ribosomal RNA
Source: RNAcentral
UGCCAGCCGCCGCGGUAAUACGUAGGGAGCAAGCGUUGUCCGGAAUUAUUGGGCGUAAAGGGUGCGUAGGCGGUAAUCCAAGUCAGAUGUGAAAUCCCCGGGCUUAACUCGGGACGUGCAUUUGAAACUGGGUCACUUGAGUAAAGAAGAGGUAAGUGGAAUUCCUAGUGUAGCGGUGAAAUGCGUAGAUAUUAGGAGGAACACCAGUGGCGAAGGCGACUUGCUGGUCUUUUACUGACGCUGAGGCACGAAAGCGUGGGGAGCAAACAGGAUUAGAUA